UACGUAGGCAGCAAGCGUUUGUUCGGAGUUACUGGGCGUAAAGGGUGUGUAGGCGGUUCUUUAAGUUUGGUGUGAAAUCUCCCGGCUCAACUGGGAGGGUGCGCCGAAUACUGAGGGACUAGAGUACGGGAGAGGAAAGUGGAAUUCCUGGUGUAGCGGUGAAAUGCGUAGAUAUCAGGAGGAACACCGGUGGUGUAGACGGCUUUCUGGACCGUAACUGACGCUGAGACACGAAAGCGUGGGUAGCAAACAGG
This 254-nucleotide ribosomal RNA is filed under the name uncultured bacterium. RNAcentral describes it as "partial 16S ribosomal RNA". It matches the Rfam family "Bacterial small subunit ribosomal RNA", at positions 524 to 776 of the family's 1533-position model. The record is from RNAcentral.